This 535-nucleotide unclassified non-coding RNA is filed under the name Hevea brasiliensis (rubber tree). Lineage: Eukaryota; Viridiplantae; Streptophyta; Magnoliopsida; Malpighiales; Euphorbiaceae. The record is from RNAcentral.
AACAUGUUCAAUGAUCUAAUCACACCGUACCAGGUCAGAAAUCUGAAUUUCAUGCUCCUGACAUCACACAUGCUUUGUACAUGAGCAAAUCCACAAGGAGUAACACAACAAAAGAGCAUUAUAAACAAACAAGAGCAGUAAACUUCAAAAAAGACAAGACUACAAGGCACUUCAACCAAUUUAGAUAUUCCAAAAAAUACUGUUUCAUCAUCCGGAUAUGGAACUCGUUGCAAAAGGUUAUUCAUCCCCCUCCUUGCCGUGGAAUAUAAAGGAAUGCAGAAUAAAAAUACAAUAUUGAAUCGCCAUCAUCAUUUUUCUGAGUAUUGUGUGUUAAGAAGCAAAGUUACUCAUUACAAAUGUAUAAUGCAAAAAGUCUACCCUAGCUCAUACUCUUCGAUUGUUAAAAGGAUCAAGGAAAAACAACAUUUCAAGACAUUAGUCAGAUUUAAUAUCAAAUAAUUCAAAUUAAUCAAUGGGAAACAAACAUUGACAACUAGCAUUUUUCAGUAUUCAAUAAAUUGCUUUUUGUCUUCAG